This 879-nucleotide ribosomal RNA is filed under the name uncultured bacterium. Its description in RNAcentral is "bacterial SSU rRNA". It matches the Rfam family "Bacterial small subunit ribosomal RNA", at positions 8 to 916 of the family's 1533-position model. The record is from RNAcentral.
AGAGUUUGAUCCUGGCUCAGGACGAACGCUGGCGGCGUGCCUAACACAUGCAAGUCGAGCGAUUCUCUUCGGAGAAGAGCGGCGGACGGGUGAGUAACGCGUGGGUAACCUGCCCUGUACACACGGAUAACAUACCGAAAGGUAUGCUAAUACGGGAUAACAUAUUUUGAUGGCAUCAUCGAAAUAUCAAAGCUCCGGCGGUACAGGAUGGACCCGCGUCUGAUUAGCUAGUUGGUGAGGUAAUGGCUCACCAAGGCGACGAUCAGUAGCCGACCUGAGAGGGUGAUCGGCCACAUUGGAACUGAGACACGGCCCAGACUCCUACGGGAGGCAGCAGUGGGGAAUAUUGCACAAUGGGCAAAAGCCUGAUGCAGCAACGCCGCGUGAGCGAUGAAGGCCUUCGGGUCGUAAAGCUCUGUCCUCAAGGAAGAUAAUGACGGUACUUGAGGAGGAAGCCCCGGCUAACUACGUGCCAGCAGCCGCGGCAAUACGUAGGGGGCUAGCGUUAUCCGGAAUUACUGGGCGUAAAGGGUGCGUAGGUGGUUUUUUAAGUCAGAAGUGAAAGGCUACGGCUCAACCGUAGUAAGCUUUUGAAACUGAGAAACUUGAGUGCAGGAGAGGAGAGUAGAAUUCCUAGUGUAGCGGUGAAAUGCGUAGAUAUUAGGAGGAAUACCAGUUGCGAAGGCGGCUCUCUGGACUGUAACUGACACUGAGGCACGAAAGCGUGGGGAGCAAACAGGAUUAGAUACCCUGUUAGUCCACGCCGUAAACGAUGAGUACUAGGUGUCGGGGGUUACCCCCCUCGGUGCCGCAGCUAACGCAUUAAGUACUCCGCCUGGGAAGUACGCUCGCAAGAGUGAAACUCAAAGGAAUUGACGG